ACUCAAAUGAAUAGACGGGGGCCCGCACAAGCGGUGGAGUAUGUGGUUUAAUUCGAUGCAACGCGAAGAACCUUACCUGGUCUUGACAUGUUAGGAACCUUACAGAGAUGUAGGGGUGCCGCAAGGAGCCUAAACACAGGUGCUGCAUGGCUGUCGUCAGCUCGUGUCGUGAGAUGUUGGGUUAAGUCCCGCAACGAGCGCAACCCUUGUCCUUAGUUGCCAUCAUUUAGUUGGGCACUCUAAGGAGACUGCCGGUGACAAACCGGAGGAAGGUGGGGAUGACGUCAAGUCCUCAUGGCCCUUAUGACCAGGGCUACACACGUACUACAAUGGUCGGUACAGAGGGUCGCCAACCCGCAAGGGGGAGCUAAUCCCGAAAAGCCGAUCGUAGUCCGGAUCGGAGUCUGCAACUCGACUCCGUGAAGUCGGAAUCGCUAGUAAUCGCGGAUCAGCAUUGCCGCGGUGAAUACGUUCCCGGGCCUUGUACACACCGCCCGU
Molecule: ribosomal RNA, 498 nt
Filed under: uncultured bacterium
Lineage: Bacteria
Description: partial 16S ribosomal RNA
Rfam family: Bacterial small subunit ribosomal RNA
Source: RNAcentral